Molecule: long non-coding RNA, 358 nt
Filed under: Gallus gallus (chicken)
Lineage: Eukaryota; Metazoa; Chordata; Aves; Galliformes; Phasianidae
Description: lncRNA (ENSGALG00010012920.1)
Source: RNAcentral
CAGCCCUCAAACAGCUUUGGGAACAGCUUUGUAGGAGAGGGAAGGUGACACCUUUCAGUAGCACAAUAUUUUUAACCUUGGUUUGCUGCUGCGAGAGGCUCAGGUUUUGAAAUGCGUCGCCGAUGGUGGAGGAACAUGAUUGAGGCUACCAUUAUAUUGGAGGAAAUAGUUUUAAAGCCUCAUGCUAUCAGAUGAUGCUGUGUGUGUCCGAAGUGCUGUAUCUGCCUGCGCUGUGCCUCUGCCUCAAGACUUUCACACACAGCACAAUGAGCCCGGGACACAAAGCUCAGGGAUGGUGCAAGUGCACUGCAAGAGAGGACUCGCCUUUACUAUACAGAAUUGCUGAAGCUCAGCAAAG